GGCUCAAUCGGUAGAGCGUCCGACUACCAGUCGGGCACUCGCUGGUUCGAGUCCGGU
RNAcentral lists this transfer RNA (57 nucleotides) under Ancylostoma ceylanicum. It matches the Rfam family "tRNA", at positions 9 to 63 of the family's 71-position model. Rfam says of the family: Transfer RNA (tRNA) molecules are approximately 80 nucleotides in length. Their secondary structure includes four short double-helical elements and three loops (D, anti-codon, and T loops). The record is from Rfam by way of RNAcentral. Lineage: Eukaryota; Metazoa; Nematoda; Chromadorea; Rhabditida; Ancylostomatidae.